AUGCGUUUUGUGCGGCGCAUCCAGGAGUCUGAGGUGAAGGAGGCUUUAAAAAGGAUGAAAGGAGGCAAGGCGAUGGGCCCUGAUUGUAUCCCCAUUGAGGUGUGGAAAGGUCUCGGGGACAUAGCGAUAGUAUGGCUAACCAAGCUUUUCAACCUCAUUUUUCGGGCAAACAAGAUGCCAGAAAAAUGGAGACGGAGUAUAUUAGUACCAAUCUUCAAGAACAAGGGAGAUGUUCAGAGUUGUACUAAUUACCGUGGAAUUAAGCUGAUGAGCCAUACAAUGAAGCUAUGGGAGAGAGUCAUUGAGCACCGCUUAAGAAGAAUGACAAGCGUGACCAAAAAUCGGUUUGGUUUCAUGCCUGGGAGGUCGACCAUGGAAGCCAUUUUCUUGGUACGACAACUUAUGGAGAGAUAUAGGGAGCAUAAGAAGGACUUGCAUAUGGUGUUCAUUGACUUGGAGAAGGCCUAUGAUAAGAUACCGCGGAAUGUCAUGUGGUGGGCCUUGGAGAAACACAAAGUCCCAGCAAAGUACAUUACCCUCAUCAAGGACAUGUACAAUAAUGUUGUGACAAGUGUUCGAACAAGUGAUGUCGACACCGAUGACUUCCCGAUUAAGAUAGGACUGCAUCAGGGGUCAGCUUUGAGCCCUUAUCUUUUUUGCAUUGGUGAUGGAUGA
This 675-nucleotide ribosomal RNA is filed under the name Triticum aestivum (bread wheat). RNAcentral's name for it is "partial small subunit ribosomal RNA". Lineage: Eukaryota; Viridiplantae; Streptophyta; Magnoliopsida; Poales; Poaceae. The record is from RNAcentral.